GACCUUUUGCUGGGUAGAGCAGCUGAAAUGUCACGAAGAGUGGGAUGAUACUUCUGAAACGCUGCCCCUGAGGAACAUUGUAGCCAUAUUAAAUGGAUGCGGUGAAAAUUGUGGGUGUCUCCUUCUAGCAAGCAUUGCAAGGAAACUCAUUUUUACAACAACAGAUUUAUACUGCAUAGACUCCUACACACGGACUGCUCACACAAUUGUUCACUAACUGCAUUUGACAAAAAGAAAAUGUUUGGAGUGGUCAUUUCGAUCUUUGGCUUAAAAACAUAACGGCAAACAAAACAGUGAAAGCAAACUGAAAACAGCCAUGAGAAAACAGUUAUGGUUGUAUGGAUGGAUGCCCAGAGGAGCAAGUGAUCAGCUGGAGUUACCAGUGAAUGGAACCAGCUAUUUGGUGAGAAACGGAGAAAGUAUAAACUCAGUUACAUGAAGACACAUGAAGAUUAUUCAACAGAAAAUUGUAUAGUGUUACUUUUUUUAAAACCUUGAUUUUUUUUACAGUAUA
Stegostoma tigrinum is the source of this 514-nucleotide long non-coding RNA. RefSeq lists it as uncharacterized. The record is from RefSeq and is a predicted model, not a curated record. Lineage: Eukaryota; Metazoa; Chordata; Chondrichthyes; Orectolobiformes; Stegostomatidae. The transcript is spliced from 3 exons.